Molecule: non-coding RNA, 5099 nt
Organism: Odocoileus virginianus texanus
Lineage: Eukaryota; Metazoa; Chordata; Mammalia; Artiodactyla; Cervidae
Source: RefSeq, a predicted model, not a curated record
UUGACCUGGUGGAAAUGGUAUGGCAGUGACUCCUAGACAUAGGCCAAAACCUGCUAAAAACUUCAAUAAGAGAAUGAGUAAUAUCUUGAGUUGAGCCAUGGAGAGUUUGUCUUUGCCCUUAGCGCUUGACUUUGUUUUUGAGCUGAGUUCGACUGAAAGUACCACAAAUUCCAUUCAACUCCAUACUUUGACAAAGUUUAAUUUAGCCAGUCUUUCUGCAAAUACAGAUGAGAAAUUCAGUUCCAGAGAUCAACUAAUACAGGAGAGUGAGGAGGCCCAGCCAGCACUCUUCCCAGCGGGCCAGUGCCACACACUUCUGUGGAACAUUAGCACCGUGAAUGGUGAGGGGUGCUGCUUAGAGAUGAAAAGUGACAGCUUCCAACUGGCUGUAAUGGAAAUCCCAUUUUGUGGAGUCUUUCUAAAUGAGAUGAUUUUCCUCUUGGGGGAGGGAAGAGUAAGAGGUCAAAGAAGGCAGAGGCAGGUGUCUGGAACUUCCAAAGAUGGGAGACUACAGUUUUCCUCACAAGUUGAAAAUGAUAGAGCCCUCAGGUGUAUGCAUUUCACUAAUAAUUUAUACGUUCCAGUUCUUUGAGAGUUGGUGGAGACAGAAUACACAGCACAUUCAGAGUCACAAUUAAGUACUUAACAAUGAGGCAAAAUUCUGAAGUGAAAACAGGAUUUUCAAAUAUAUGUUCAUCAACCCAAUGAAAAAUCAAUGACAUUCCAUAUUCCUUAAGCCAAGUCUGUACAUACUUAUGAGGUUUGUAAUACAGGGAAAAGAGUGACAAGCUGAAGAAUUACCUAGAUAACUUGUUUCUGGGAGAGUUUGCUUAGAUAAUGCUAACUAAUAUUUUCCCUCUCCCCUUACCCCCACCCCACCCAAGGUUUCCUCGAGCAUAUCUUUGUAUCUGCAUUAUCUAUAUACAACUAUAUUCACCUUCCAUUUCACUUUGUAUAGGCAGAGUAUGACCUUGGCUGCAUAUAUGCAUAUUAAAUACAGUAGAUGUUCAAGAGAAUUAGAUGGAUGAAGUACAGGGAUCCAAAGUCUGUUUUCCUCUACUCUGCAGCUCCAGCCAAAGAAAGUAAACCAUUAAUAAUCACCAAGUAAAUUAAUGAGGAUACAUUAAGUCUAAAAUCCUUUUCUUUCAGGCUUUUGAAGUGUUUGGAUACUCAUCUAGACCUGACUGCUUCCCCUGUGGCUCAGCUGCCUGGUGUCUGGUUUGGAUCUGGUCAGAUGAACCGUGUCUCCUGGCUAGCUGACAACCCACAGGAGCCAAGAAAUCUUAAAGAAGAUGUCUGGUUUGAGAAGGAGAGCUUGCCAUGCAUCAAAAUAUCCCUGGAUUUUAACCACGAUGGCACUUUCUGGAAAACAUCAGAGCAGAUGAGCAAAAAUAUUUGCUGUUAAAUUCAAAGUGCUCAAACAAAGCAAAUCAGCUGUGCUGCAGAGCCCCUGAAGACACACUUUACAAAGAAGAAAGAGAUCUAAAAAGAUAUAACAGCUGUUAUUGAUGUUUUACAAGAGGAACAAACAACCUGGAUGUGGGUGUCAAGAGUCCCUUGAAGAGUGUGGACAAGACCAGAUAGCUGUAGCCAUCAGUUUCACUCUCACCUGGAAUGUUUCACCAAGUGCUCUACAUGUAUUAGGGCUCAGUCGCCACAACAACUUUCUAGAAUGAGUUCAUUAUACCUCCAUUUUACAGAUGAGGAAACUGAGCCUCAGCAUGUCAAAGCAAGUGGUAAAGUGGAAGGUGAGCACCAAUCUGUGAGAGCUGAAAGCCCAUAACUUAACCCAAAAAGACUUUGUGUCCUCUCACUACACACCUGGUUUUUUCCUGGCUGCCUCUCCUAAAACAAGGAUGUAAAAAUGCCUUUUACAUCUCUGGCCUACUCUCUACUUUGCAGGUUAACUUCUUUUUCUUCAAAUAACCCAUGUUACCAUUUCCCUUAUACCCAUUUCCUCAUAACUUCUGGCUUCUGCUUUACCUACAUUCACAUUAGUCCCUCAGAGAUUAACGCCCUUCCUACCUCCUAGCCUGUACCUUUCCCCCCUUCCGUCUUUGUUCAUUUGAUUUCACUCCAAUGGCUUUGGACGCAUUUGGCUACUUCUCCUCCUUGUAUCUGUUUGCCCAUGGCUGUUUUGAUAGGCUUUUCCUUUUCUCCCACUGCUCCUCUGUAAUAAAUUCCUCUGUUCCUGUUCCUAGCUCCCUGAGCAUUUCCCAGCCUAAGAGCUUAGCCCUUGGCUUCAUACUCCUUUUGAGAACACAUUUCUUUUCCUGACUUUAGCUCUUACUGCUGUGUGGGUACCCACCCUCAGUUCCCUUCUUGGCCCUGUCCUCUUUCUUUACCCCCAUAUCUGAAGCAUCAAGUGCCUAGUGAACAUCAACACUUAGAUGGCUCACCAUCACUUCACACGUAUGGCUAAAACCAAAUCCACUAACUUCCUCCUAAACUUCUCCUCCCACCCCAACUUUCUCAUAUAUCAUUUUCCUAGUCAUUCUCAAAAUCUUUACUUACCCCUUACCCUUACUUUCCUACCCCCUAGGAAUAUUUGCUCCCUAUCCCAGUCUAAACACAUUAUCACAAGGUUCUAAAGAUAUUCCCUAAAAAUGUCUUAUCUCUAACACAAGAUUUCCCUUUACCUUUGGACCCAUAUCUUAAUUUUUGAAAUGGACCUUAACCCUACCCUCUGCUCCAUUAAUGAUCAAAGUGUAUUCUCAGUGGUCAGUUGAAGGCAAAUUAAUGUCUUCCUUGUAGACUUUUGCAAAAAAAAUUACCUUCAAAUCUGAUAUCCAGUGGUUUUCAAAAGCCUCUGUUGGGAAAAAUCUCCCCAAAUUGAAGUUUUUUGGUGGACCCUUCAUUCCACUCUUGGCAUUCCCAAGAUCUGAUGACUUUAAGGGCUACACGGAUGACACGGUUGUGGAGAUGGGUAGAUGUUAUAGAGCCCAGGACUCCUCUCAGAUUUUCAGAUGUGAUGCCAAACAGAACAUCUCUCCAUGGGUCCAAUCCAGACUCCAGCCUGUCUGCAGCCUUUGCUGAGUAUCAAGCGCCACAACCUUUGAGGAGUUGCAUACUUGGACCUGGUGUGGAAAUUCCUUCUGCAGAUGCCUUUGCCUAGUCGUGCUGUGGUGCCAGGCCUUUAACUAUGAGUGACUUUAUAAGGUCAGUCACACAGAACUCAUCGUUUCAUCUAAAGGGAUGUUGAGGACUACAGUUAAAAUCAUUUAUAUUUAUCCUUCUGAAUUGGAUGUGUAUGUUUCCUCAAAUCCUUUACUGAAUAAAAUGAGGUCUUCAUUCUUAAGGGUUGUCUCCCUAUUUUCACUCCUGGAAGAUGAGGUCCCCCAAGGCUGAGGAUCUGGAUCUACAUCCUUUACAACUAUGUCCCACAGGGGGAACUGUGUCCAGGCCUUUGCAUAUGCUCAGUACAAAUCUGUCCCCUGUGUUUGAAUCAUUUCCACCUCUACGCAGAUUUUUAUUCUCCAUUGUCACCUGACGUCCUGCUUUUCAGAUUGUCCCUGCACACUGUUCAUCCUGCACACUGCUGCCAGAUUGUUUUCCAACUCAGUUUUCAUUACAUCCCGUUAAAAACCUUUUUUGCUUCCAGUUAACUACAAGGCUUCCAGAAUUAUCCUUAGUCAGCCAUAUUUCUUGGCUCUCUCUACCCACACUCUGACGCCUCACUGAACCACAGAUAACCUACCUCAUGUCUCCCCCAUGUCACCCCAGUUCAACUGGUUCUGCCCUGCCAGCUUCCCAGGAGAGGUCUGUGUCUUCCUCUCCUUCCUUGAGCCUUCUCUCUCCUAGUAGAAACACCCCUCCUCCUUUUCCUUUGAUGUGGGUCCUGAGAGACUCUUGAGUCAUUGUAUAACUCAGAGUUGUGGAGGCUUUCGUUAAACAUUAAGGGCCCUGUCUGAACAAGGUGCUACAUCAGACACAGGAGGUAUGUGGAAAGUUUUCUGAGGAAGGUGCUGUAAACUAGGACAUCAUGUGAGGACUACAAGUCUGUAAGAUGGGAGGAAAAACUGCCCAUGAACUUCUAUAUUGAGAAAACACAGAGUAUCAGAUCUGGGAUGGCAGGCGGGGUUGUGGGGAGGAAGCAAAACUCCAAGAUCUUACAAUAGCACAGUUCUCUUUGAAAGCUGAGCCAACCACAUGAGAUCCAGAGAAGCAAGGUCACUUGUCAAUGGUCACUUAAAAGUGGGAAAAGUUUUCCGUGUGCACAUUCUGUUAUCUGAUUUCCACGUUCUAGCAUUGGGGUCAUGACACUGGUGAGUCAGUCAUUUUUCCUAGCAGGCAUCCAAGUGAGUCCCUGGGAAUUUCUUAUUCUGGAGGAGAGAUAAUAGAAACCAACAAGGGAGAUCUGGUGGGAUAAAGAUUGUGUGGUUGGCCUGGACUCCCCUUUAGGGCACCACAGGGAGACCUCAGCCACAAGCUUUCCUUACACAUAGGAAAGACAGUUGAUGGUGCCUGAAAGGCACGUUUCCCUCUCUACUAAAUACCAAAAUCCACAUUUCACAUGAGCACACAGACCCAAAGCUCUUGGGCAUCAGGCAGGCCUGGGGCUUUCCUACUCAUCUUUGAGGUCCCGUGACUCCAAAGCAUGCUUGUGAAACUGCUCCUUUCUCCAUAGCUGCGUACUGACUGCCCCUUUGCCUCAGCUUUCCCCUUCACCCAUCUGAGGCUGCCCCAGUGUCCUUCAGAUACCCAAUCCAUUGUCUUCCCAGUAGGCUGCAUCUGAUAUCCUGCCCCAGGUGACUUUGUUUUAAAGUAUUAGCAUUGACCACCUGAAGAGCCUUCUAGAUGAUGGCCUUUUCAGGCCAUGAGACAAGUUGGGUUGGGGAUGGUGGGUGGGGUUUGAUGUCGAGAGACUGGAGACCCAUGGCAUCCUCAGAGCCUUUUGUAAGGAGCCACUUGACAUCCAAACCAUACUUUUUUCUUACCAGCAGGCUGAACCUGUCUCAUGGAGAGGCAGAACAGGCCAGGCUGGGCAUCAUUCCCAUAGCAGUUCAAGAGGUUUCCUACCACUUCACUAACUCAAUUUUAAAAGAUCUAACAUGUUAUCUUCAGAAGGAAAUGGCAACCCACUCCAGGAUUCUUUCCUG